UCUACGGGAGGCAGCAGUGAGGAAUAUUGGUCAAUGGGCGCGAGCCUGAACCAGCCAAGUAGCGUGAAGGAUGACUGCCCUACGGGUUGUAAACUUCUUUUAUAAAGGAAUAAAGUGAGGCACGUGUGCCUUUUUGUAUGUACUUUAUGAAUAAGGAUCGGCUAACUCCGUGCCAGCAGCCGCGGUAAUACGGGGGAUCCGAGCGUUAUCCGGAUUUAUUGGGUUUAAAGGGAGCGUAGAUGGGUUGUUAAGUCAGUUGUGAAAGUUUGCGGCUCAACCGUAAAAUUGCAAUUGUUACUGGCAGUCUUGAGUACAGUUGAGGUAGGCGGAAUGCGUGGUGUAGCGGUGACAUGCUUAGAUAUCACGAAGAACUCCGAUUGCGAAGGCAGCUUACUAAACUGCCACUGACAUUGAUGCUCGAAAGUGUGGGUAUCAAACAGGAUUAGAGACCCUAGUAGUC
This 460-nucleotide ribosomal RNA is filed under the name uncultured bacterium. RNAcentral's name for it is "partial 16S ribosomal RNA". It matches the Rfam family "Bacterial small subunit ribosomal RNA", at positions 338 to 795 of the family's 1533-position model. The record is from RNAcentral.